Molecule: transfer RNA, 64 nt
Filed under: Galba pervia
Lineage: Eukaryota; Metazoa; Mollusca; Gastropoda; Lymnaeidae
Description: tRNA-Gln
Source: RNAcentral
CCUUCUCCUUAAGUGUUAGGCACGAAAAGAUUUGAGUUUUUAAGAGGAUUUUUCCAAGGAGAGA